RNAcentral lists this long non-coding RNA (653 nucleotides) under Malus domestica (apple). Its description in RNAcentral is "long non-coding RNA (MDOM_LNC003183)". Lineage: Eukaryota; Viridiplantae; Streptophyta; Magnoliopsida; Rosales; Rosaceae. The record is from RNAcentral.
UUGGGAUCACUAGGUGGACUGCGGGAGCGAGUUGGGUUGCGAAAGUGGGCCGAGCAAUGUGCAGGGGUAUGUGGGCGUGGUGUGGUUUGGCAUGCUUAGCCUUGGGCCAAUGGUGCAUUAGGCUUGCUCUAGCUUUAGGCCGCGAGUGUUAGGCUGCUACAUUUGUCGCAGCUGCAGCUGCUUGAGCCGUGCUUUGGGCCUCAGCUGCUAUGGCAGCUUUGUGGGCUUGCUGGAUCUGGGUUGCCUCGUGCCGAGUUGGUUGCCUUAUGGCAUAGGCUUGAGCUCGUUAUUGCAAGGUGGCAGCUAUGUUGCUUCGUGUGUACUUCACAAGCAUUUUUCAUAAGAUAAUCUCACAUUGUUCACUAGUUAGCUUGAAAAAGGGUAAGGAAAAGUGUGUAAGGUAUAAGGGCAAGACAUAUUUGGUGAUAAGAAAUGAAAGGCUCAACAUAUACUGCUCAAAUUGGCAAUCUAAUGAUAUCAUUCUUUAGGAAACAUGCUUAUCUGGGCUAUGGUUAUAAACCUAUUGCCUCUAUCCUUUUCAAGUCUAUGCAAUCAAACGACAAACAUUUUGAAAGAUCUUUACGCAAAUUCUAGAGAUGUAAUUCACAUAAGUUCAUCACACAUUAAGGAAUAUGAGUGUAUGAAAAAUGCAC